AUGCACCAACAAACAACACAACAGGCAUACAUUACAAUAAUCUGAGGCCUCAGAUGGGAGCUUCUCUUUGCGUGUUACUUCACUCUCUGAAGGUACGCUGCAGAAAAGUCCACCGAGUGUUUGAAAGUAAUGAGUUCUUAUUCACUGGGGUUGGCAUUAUGAGGGGGUGUCCCCCCCAUAAAACCAACAGCCUUUGUUUACCAGAUGGUAAUCUUUUCUAUUGAAGCCCCCCCCGAUGUCAUUUGAGGGGUCGGCGGCCGUGAGUGACCUUCUGGUCUCGUUGACGUUAGCCAGGGGGUUGAGGACAUCAAAGCAUUACGAUUGGCUGAUUUACAACACACGAAGAUAGGUACAGGCAGGCAAUAAAAUGUUUCACACGACUCUCGAACGUUCACACUUUAAAUGACCCAAAAGGAGCCCAGAAGGCAGACACUAUAUAAAAUUACACAGAAUAGCAACAAAA
Long non-coding RNA from Gadus macrocephalus (Pacific cod), 463 nucleotides. RefSeq lists it as uncharacterized. The record is from RefSeq and is a predicted model, not a curated record. The transcript is spliced from 2 exons. Lineage: Eukaryota; Metazoa; Chordata; Actinopteri; Gadiformes; Gadidae.